CUUAAAAGCAUUGUCAAUAGGUAUACAGCCUCUCUAGCCAGCUACAAUUCAAAGGCAGAAGGAGUGGAACCUUUUCAGCAGAUGGGAUGGUUAUCAGCACAACAGCAGCAUCAUGAGCUCAUCUCUUUAUUUUCAGCAGAAUCCAGGAGGCACCACUGAUCGCGAGAACCUUCCCUAGUCUACCACAUGUGCCUGAGCGCCAUCACUGUACGUGAACACUCACCCUCCUGACUUACUCCUCCAUGGUCACCUUAACAGGACCCUGCACACCCUCCCCCUGCUGGCCUCUGUCCCUCCCCCAGCACUUCAGUGCUGCCGACUUCUUCAUUCUCUCCCCUUGUGGUGCAACUUCUGAUGUCCAGUCUCCUAAGUGGAUUAUCAGAUGGAGUAGAGAAGAAGGAGAGGCUAAAUUUUGUUUCUGGAGAAUAAGUGGAAAGGGCAGAGGGGUCUCCACCAUUGCAUGACUUCCG
RNAcentral lists this long non-coding RNA (470 nucleotides) under Equus caballus (horse). RNAcentral's name for it is "lncRNA (ENSECAG00000035403.2)". Lineage: Eukaryota; Metazoa; Chordata; Mammalia; Perissodactyla; Equidae. The record is from RNAcentral.